Molecule: ribosomal RNA, 465 nt
Filed under: uncultured bacterium
Lineage: Bacteria
Description: partial 16S ribosomal RNA
Rfam family: Bacterial small subunit ribosomal RNA
Source: RNAcentral
GACGAACGCUGGCGGCGUGCUUAACACAUGCAAGUCGAACGGUAAGGCUCCAGCUUGCUGGGGUACACGAGUGGCGAACGGGUGAGUAACACGUGGGUGACCUGCCCUGCACUUCGGGAUAAGCCUGGGAAACUGGGUCUAAUACCGGAUAGGACCGCACCGUGAGGGGGUGGUGGAAAGUUUUUUCGGUGUGGGAUGGGCCCGCGGCCUAUCAGCUUGUUGGUGGGGUAAUGGCCUACCAAGGCGGCGACGGGUAGCCGGCCUGAGAGGGUGGACGGCCACAUUGGGACUGAGACACGGCCCAGACUCCUACGGGAGGCAGCAGUGGGGAAUAUUGCACAAUGGGCGGAAGCCUGAUGCAGCGACGCCGCGUGGGGGAUGACGGCCUUCGGGUUGUAAACUCCUUUCACCAUAGACGAAGGGUUUCUGACGGUAGAUGGAGAAGAAGCACCGGCUAACUACGUG